This 405-nucleotide unclassified non-coding RNA is filed under the name soil metagenome. RNAcentral describes it as "partial contains 5.8S ribosomal RNA, internal transcribed spacer 2, and large subunit ribosomal RNA". The stretch from base 1 to 121 matches the Rfam family "5.8S ribosomal RNA", at positions 35 to 154 of the family's 154-position model. The record is from RNAcentral.
GAUGAAGAACGUAGCGAAAUGCGAUAAGUAAUGUGAAUUGCAGAAUUCAGUGAAUCAUCGAAUCUUUGAACGCACCUUGCGCCCUUUGGCCAUUCCGAAGGGCAUGCCUGUUUGAGUAUCAUGAACACCUCAACUCUUUAUGGUUUUCCAUGAUGAGCUUGGACUCUGGGGGUUUUGCUGGCUCACAGUCGGCUCCUCUAAAAUAAAUCAGCUUACCAGUGUUUGGUGGGUAUCAUGGGUGUGAUAACUAUCUACGCUUGUGGUUUUUCCACCAGGUAACCUUCAGCAGUGGAGGUUCGCUGGAGCUCAUAGAUGUCUCUCCUCAGUGAGGACAGCCCUUUGAAUGUUUGAUCUCAAAUCAGGUAGGACUACCCGCUGAACUUAAGCAUAUCAAUAAGCGGUGGA